This 1835-nucleotide long non-coding RNA is filed under the name Panax ginseng (ginseng). Its description in RNAcentral is "long non-coding RNA (PGIN_LNC012969)". The record is from RNAcentral. Lineage: Eukaryota; Viridiplantae; Streptophyta; Magnoliopsida; Apiales; Araliaceae.
AGAGGUUUUCUGGAUGAAAGUAGAAAUAUUGAUUUGAAGGAAUUUGUUUUCAGUUUUUUUUUGUUUUCUUUAAUUAACUGAAUUUGAAGGAAUUUGAUGAUAAUUUAAUUUGCUGCCAUUUAAAGAGAAUCCACCUGAUAUGUAACUCUUUUCAUUCAUUAAAACUUGAAUGUUUGACUGGCUUAUAGACUCUAUACACCUGUUGAAUAAAGCAAUGGAAAGAAAAACUGAAAGAACAUUUGGAGGAAAAGUUAUAGCACAAAUUGGUAGGAAAAUUUCAAAUAUAACUCAACAAAGACUAAUCCAUUUACUAGGGGUCAGCUUCACAUUUAACUCUUUGCAGUUAAGGAAGCAUUUUAGGGUAUGUAUAGUGGUUGGGAUUUAAUCUGACGAAGAAGCCGGAAGUUCGGAUGCAGUUUUUGGAUUCCUUUGAUUCUCUAUUAAUUCAUUCGGGUAUGUAUUAUUUCAUUUCAAGAAUUAUGUUUUCUUGAAUUUAUAUUUGCUUUCUAAAAUCUCUGUAACCAUAGCCUUUCCUUAUGUCUGUUGUUUUAUCCCUGUCUCAUGUUUGUUCAAUGUUGAUGAUUCCUAUCGGGGAUUUGAAAUAGUUAGUGCCCACUCAAGGCCAUCUGUAUAUUUGGGUUGGGUAGCAUCUCAGAGAAUGAAUCACUUUCAAUGGGAACUAUGUCAAAUUUUGAUUAAUUAGAUCAUAAUCAGGAAUUCUAAUAUGCUACUUGAACAGAGUAAAAACAGGAGGGAAAAAACAGCCUUGUACCGUUGUACGAGUCUAGAGCAGGACUUUAACCAUGAUAAUUUUCCAAUUUUGGUUAGAAAUUCCUCUAAAAGCAUAAGCUCAUAUUAGCUAACCAUUUUGGUUCAUAUUAGCUAAGUAGUAGGUGUAAAUCCUUUGAACAUCAGUCUGCAACAACCAUUAUCGUGCUAAAACCCAACUAACCAUGAUUUACAAAUACAUGAAAAAAUGAAGACAACCAAAACAGAUGUUAGAUUCUGUUUAAAGAGUAGUAAGCAUGUUAAAAGCGUAUUUCAUUUUUGUUUAGCCAAUUGAAGACAAUUGUACAUCUCAUUUUUGUUCAAGAACUUAACAAUACAGGAAAGCUAAGCAGAAUUUGUGGGGAAAAAUUAAUAAAAUAAUCUAAAUUUGUAGGCAAAGGAUCAGAACCAUAUUUGUAAACUGACUGCUUUACGAGAAGCACGUGUUCUAGCAAAACCUCAGCUUUCUUUCAACUCGGUGACAACCCUUUUUCCUGGAUUGUAAAUAACAAAAUCAAGUGAGCUUCCGGCCUUCCACCUUACUUCUAUACAUUUGCUUAUUUAUUAGUAGUACAUACAGUUCACCAUGUUUUUUUUGGAUGCCUCAUCAAAUGUGGAUACUCUUGCUAAGUGCCUGAGGUUCAAAUGAUGACACUUGAUUCUUACCAUAAGUUGUCUGUUUGGAUUAUAUAGUUAGAUUUUUUUGUGUAGUUUGGUUACUAAGGAGCUUAAGGGUAACCUGGAUCAUGUGUCAAAUGCAAUGAUCUAAUUAAAACUGUGUGUUCGUAUUGAUACGAGGAAAUUAAUGAUAGUGAUGAAGAGAAGGUUUGAAGGGAUGAAGAAGACAUUUAAGAGAGUUAAAUGAUAUGCAAUCCAGUACCGACCUGUCCACCUUUGACGAUGACUAACACAUCACUGACCAAACAAUUGUCUAGGUGUGAAAGUCUCUCUGACCAAGACUCUCUAUAUUUCUCUACUUCUCAUGCAUACACACAACACACACAAUACAUGCAAAAACACACACACAUAACUGUAACCAAUCAAACACUUACAAAUCAAACUCACAC